RNAcentral lists this ribosomal RNA (494 nucleotides) under uncultured bacterium. RNAcentral's name for it is "partial 16S ribosomal RNA". It matches the Rfam family "Bacterial small subunit ribosomal RNA", at positions 28 to 507 of the family's 1533-position model. The record is from RNAcentral.
GGCGAACGCUGGCGGCGUGCUUAACACAUGCAAGUCGAACGGUGAAGCGCCUUCCUUUUUGGUGGGUGUGGAUGAGUGGCGAACGGGUGAGUAACACGUGAGUAACCUGCCCUCUUCUUCUGGAUAACCGCAUGAAAGUGUGGCUAAUACGGGAUAUUCUGGGUCUGUCGCAUGAUGGGUCUGGGAAAGAUAUUGUUUCGGUGGGGGAUGGGCUCGCGGCCUAUCAGCUUGUUGGUGGGGUGAUGGCCUACCAAGGCGGUGACGGGUAGCCGGCCUGAGAGGGUGGACGGUCACACUGGGACUGAGACACGGCGCAGACUCCGACGGGAGGCAGCAGUGGGUAAUAUUGCACAAUGGGCGCAAGCCUGAUGCAGCGACGCCGCGUGGGGGAUGGAGGCCUGCGGGUUGUGAACCUCUUUCGCCAGUGAAGCAGGCCUGCCUCGUUUGUGGGUGGGUUGACGGUAGCUGGAUAAGAAGCGCCGGCUAACUACGUG